RNAcentral lists this ribosomal RNA (440 nucleotides) under uncultured bacterium. RNAcentral describes it as "bacterial SSU rRNA". It matches the Rfam family "Bacterial small subunit ribosomal RNA", at positions 338 to 792 of the family's 1533-position model. The record is from RNAcentral.
CCUACGGGUGGCUGCAGCCGAGAAUAUUCCGCAAUGGGCGCAAGCCUGACGGAGCGACGUCGCGUGACUGAUGAAGCCCUUCGGGGCGUAAAGGUCUUUUAUGAGGGAAGAAAUUUUUGACAUUACCUCAUGAAUAAGGGGCUCCUAAUCUCGUGCCAGCAGGAGCGGUAAUACGAGAGCCCCAAGCGUUAUCCGGAAUUACUGGGCGUAAAGGGUGUGUAGGCGGUCUGUUUAGUCCUCUGUUAAAGCCCCGGGCUCAACCCGGGAACUGCGGAGGAAACGGGCAGACUCGAGGGUGCGAGAGGUGUACAGAACUCAUGGUGUAGGGGUGAAAUCCGUUGAUAUCAUGGGGAAUACCAAAUGCGAAGGCAGUACACUGGCGCACUCCUGACGCUGAGACACGAAAGCGUGGGUAGCGAAUGGGAUUAGAUACCCUGGUA